RNAcentral lists this ribosomal RNA (448 nucleotides) under uncultured bacterium. Its description in RNAcentral is "bacterial SSU rRNA". It matches the Rfam family "Bacterial small subunit ribosomal RNA", at positions 329 to 793 of the family's 1533-position model. The record is from RNAcentral.
UGCCAGACUCCUCGGGAGGCAGCAGUGGGGAAUAUUGGGCAAUGGGCGCAAGCCUGACCCAGCAACGCCGCGUGAAGGAAGAAGGCUUUCGGGUUGUAAACUUCUUUUGACAGGGAAGAGCAGAAGACGGUACCUGUCGAAUAAGCCACGGCUAACUACGUGCCAGCAGCCGCGGUAAUACGUAGGUGGCAAGCGUUGUCCGGAUUUACUGGGUGUAAAGGGCGUGUAGCCGGGCUGACAAGUCAGAUGUGAAAUCCGGGGGCUCAACCCCCGAACUGCAUUUGAAACUGUUGGUCUUGAGUAUCGGAGAGGCAGGCGGAAUUCCUAGUGUAGCGGUGAAAUGCGUAGAUAUUAGGAGGAACACCAGUGGCGAAGGCGGCCUGCUGGACGACAACUGACGGUGAGGCGCGAAAGCGUGGGGAGCAAACAGGAUUAGAUACCCUAGUAU